RNAcentral lists this microRNA (21 nucleotides) under Monodelphis domestica (gray short-tailed opossum). RNAcentral's name for it is "mdo-miR-7364-3p". Lineage: Eukaryota; Metazoa; Chordata; Mammalia; Didelphimorphia; Didelphidae. The record is from miRBase by way of RNAcentral.
GCUGCCUUCCUUCCCCCAGGG